AAUCCCUGAGCACAAGAUCUAGC
This 23-nucleotide non-coding RNA is filed under the name Cricetulus griseus (Chinese hamster). The record is from RNAcentral. Lineage: Eukaryota; Metazoa; Chordata; Mammalia; Rodentia; Cricetidae.